CUGGAAAAGACCUCUAAGAUCAUCCAGUCCAACUGUCCACCUACCACAAGUAUUUCCCUCAGGCAUUUCUCUGGAGCUGCUGUCUUCGAGUGCCCUGAUCUGGGCUUACCCAGUACUCAGAGUGACUCCGCCCAUACCUGGGAGGAGCUGGCCCCAUCCUCAGCAGACACAAGAUCCUGUUUCUUUCCUGCAACCCUCGAGAGGCUUGGAGCACAACUCAACUGUCUUUGGAGUCUCCCAGCUCUACAACAGCUCCCUGCAGGGGUGCCCAAGGGCUCAUCAGUUGGCUUGGAAACAUCUGGGAGUCACAUUCAGAGAAGAUGCAUGGAAGCACGAGAUAUUUCUGAUGAAGCACAAACUCCUCACCUUUCUCACCGUUUGGUGAAGAUCAGAUGGAGGCUGGAGACACUCAAAGCAUGCUGUAAGAGCAGAUUAACUGAUGUGGGCUCGCUAGCCGUCAAACAGGAAUGACUUGUGGACAGAAAAGCAGGGGAACACCAUAUGCCUGGGAUUUGUCCUCUUUCCACCCCUGUAGCAUAGGCCAAGUCAAGUUUGAAGGCUCCAUGUGCUUGUCUGUCUGUCAGCUGGGAAAAGGAGCAGCAGCCCAGCAGGGACAGCAAUGCGGGAGGAGCAGGUCCCACCCAUUGGAAGGAUUCAGCUUUGGUAAAACCCUGCCAGCUUUGGGAACGUUAUUGCAGACCAGCAACUGCCCACACUUUGUUGCAGUCUGGGUAAGGCCCUGGAACAUCCAGUGGUCAUUAGAAGUGUGUGGUACUCCAGGAGGGACGGGUCAGUCCUGAGUUCAGCACAGGAGCUGCUAGCAGGGUUUGCUCCUGAGACCCUGAGAAACACAGUAAAUACAGGCACAGAAAAAUGUUCCGUAGGACAGGAAAAAUGUCACCUCACACACAUGAUUUCUAUAUUGAGCUGCACUUGUCAGGAGCCACGGAAUCAACACUUGGCUAAGAAAGCAAAAGCCAGGUAGGGCUCAUUUGCUGACAGGCUCAGUCUCCUGUGGCUGUUGAACUCGAGACCUACAGGGAAGUACAAUCAUUUAUACUGUGCAAAAACCAUCGUUUUUUAUCUCUGUCAGAAUACGAAUGGGAAUACAAACACAUACAGACCCGGGGGUGUAGCUGAGAUCAGCUGUCAAGACAGGAGAGGUGGGGAGGUUUCCUGGGGCACCCGGAGCAGAGCAGCCCCCAAACCUUCAAAGACAGCCCAGCAAGAGUAGUAGAUCCCAGCAGCUGAUAUCUGUAGGCAUUACUUAUCAUUUCAGGGGCGAGACAUCUUGCACUGUAAAGGCUCACUUCCUCUACAACGCUCAGAAAACACCAGUACAAUAAUAAGGGAUAUUUCCCCUCUGCCCCAAUGUCAGUCUUUAUCUCCCAGCCUCCCAUAUGUCUUAUCCAGACCAUAAACACUGUGGGCUCUUCAGCGGAGUCCCUCAUUCACAAACAACAUCAGAACAAUAAACAAACUGCAGACAGCUCCCCAAGGUCUGCUUUCCCAUUGCAAUUGGAUUGUUAAGACACCUGACAAAAAAGAAGCAAAAUGAAUAGGCCUUACUCACAAGCAGUGAUGCCUGCAGCUCAUGGAGAGAGAGCUAAUUGCAGUCUCUGUGCAAAAAAAACCAACAGCAACACAAGAAAAAUAGUACCAUUUGGGGUGAUUUUAUGCAGCUCUUAAGGACUAUAGUUCUGACAAAAGAUUAAUUGCCAACACCUGUAGAUGACACUACAAAGAGGACCCGAAAUGCUGUAUACUAGUAUGUAUGUUGGCUUAAUAAACUAUCAUUUUUGUAA
This is a long non-coding RNA of Numida meleagris (helmeted guineafowl), 1805 nucleotides long. RefSeq lists it as uncharacterized. The transcript has 2 exons. The record is from RefSeq and is a predicted model, not a curated record. NCBI's taxonomy places the organism in Eukaryota, Metazoa, Chordata, Aves, Galliformes, Numididae.